UAGGGAAUAUUGCACAAUGGGCGAAAGCCUGAUGCAGCAACGCCGCGUGCGAGAUGAAGGCCUUCGGGUCGUAAAGCGCUUUUCGGGGAGAUGAGGAGGGACAGUAUCCCCGGAAUAAGGCUCGGCUAACUACGUGCCAGCAGCCGCGGUAAAACGUAGGAGCCAAGCGUUAUCCGAAUUCACUGGGCGUAAAGCGCGGGCAGGCGGCAUGAUAAGUUGGAUGGGAAAUCGCCUGGCUCAACUGGGAGGGGACGUUCAAUACGGUCAAGCUAGAGGACGGAAGAGGGAGGUGGAAUUCCCGGUGUAGUGGUGAAAUGCGUAGAUAUCGGGAGGAACACCAGUGGCGAAAGCGGCCUUCUGGGCCGAUCCUGACGCUCAGACGCGAAAGCUAGGGGAGCGAACGGG
RNAcentral lists this ribosomal RNA (405 nucleotides) under uncultured prokaryote. RNAcentral describes it as "bacterial SSU rRNA". It matches the Rfam family "Bacterial small subunit ribosomal RNA", at positions 355 to 776 of the family's 1533-position model. RNAcentral also lists the same sequence under 1 other name. The record is from RNAcentral.